This 449-nucleotide long non-coding RNA is filed under the name Mytilus galloprovincialis (Mediterranean mussel). Lineage: Eukaryota; Metazoa; Mollusca; Bivalvia; Mytilida; Mytilidae. The record is from RNAcentral.
UUGUACAAUGAAAAGGGAUUUGUGUUUUCAAAGUACUUCCCCAUAUGACUCCGAAAUAUCUCAAUGAAUUUAGAUAUGUUGAUCAGGUUACUUCUAGAACAAUCAGACAAAGUACUUGUUAUAAGCUUUUUGUUCCAAAAAUCUAAAACUGAAUACUAAGAACGCUCUCUAUUGAUAUCUGAAAGUGUUUUGUGAAAUAAAUUGUCUACAAACAUAAAACAAAUCAAUUAAAAAAAAACAUAUAUUUAAGCAUUAGAAUUAAAUAUUUGUAUGUUAGUAUUUACAUCAUUGAAUGUUAUACUCAAAAUUGUAAAACCAGGUUUAAUCUACCAGUUUCUACAUAAGAAACAAAACACGAAUAUUUGUAUGCACCUAUAUUGUCUGGUUUACCAUGUAAACUAAGAAUCAUAUAUUCAACUUUAAUAUGUUAGAAGUAUUAUUUUGGUAAU